CUUUUUUUAAAAAAAAAAAGAAUCAACCUUCACUACUCGUAAGAUUUGAUGAGAUGAAUGUAUCAUUACAGUUUAGAGUAAUGAAGUUCCUAUAAAAAUCAUUUACAUCAUAACCAAUAUUAAAAUAAUCCAAAUUGUUUACGCCAGUAAUUGAUCAACUAACCCAAUAGCUUAUUGCCCUUGUAGCAACCAGCAAUUCUUGAGCUGAGACCUGGCACUUUCCCUAAAAUUCUUCACCCUCAUCAAGCAGAAAUGGGUGCAGCAGACUCCUAACCCAGAUGACCCAGCUCUGCUCGUCUUCAACAAGUAGCACACCGGGCCACAAUCAACCCCUUUCCCCUGCACAACUAUUCCCCAAGCCCUCGUCAUCCCUUCCCCUUCCCCUUCCCCUUCCUCUUUCUCAUCCUUCUCCAAUUGCUCCACGAAU
RNAcentral lists this unclassified non-coding RNA (427 nucleotides) under Hevea brasiliensis (rubber tree). The record is from RNAcentral. Lineage: Eukaryota; Viridiplantae; Streptophyta; Magnoliopsida; Malpighiales; Euphorbiaceae.